UGGCUCAGUUGGUAGAGCAUGGUGUGUGCAACGCCAGGGUUGUGGGUUCGUUUCCCAC
Molecule: non-coding RNA, 58 nt
Organism: Salmo salar (Atlantic salmon)
Lineage: Eukaryota; Metazoa; Chordata; Actinopteri; Salmoniformes; Salmonidae
Source: Rfam